UGGCUUGGGGCGUGGUCAUAUUUUCCUGCUGUUUUGUCUCUAGCUGAUCACAUGCCUGUUUCCUUUUUUUUUUUUUUACUUAUUGAAAGGUUAGAUUUUUGUGAUUAUUUUAUUUUUUAAAGUAUAAACAAUACAUAUUUUAAUUUUUUUACAGGCGGCUUUGAUCUUAUUUAUUAAGGGUGCCAAUAAUUCUGACCACAACUGUAAGAAUGAGAACUGAUAUAUGAGAUCUCAUGACAUAUCAGUAUGUGAGAUCCCACAUGCUUACUUGCACUCUAUCCAGUGAUAAACACAGCAUGUGGCCCUUGACCCAUUUUAUUUGACACAGAAUUCUGGCAUGAUCGUGUCAUUAUUAAUCAAUCGACACAAUACCACCCUGAAAUUACUUUGCACUGUUGAAAUAUGGUCUUGGCAAGAAAUUUGGAUAAAUAUUUUUUUUACGAGUGCUACUAUUUCACAUUCAAUAUUCUAGGCUAAAUUAGAGGGAUAUAAGUCACUUUUAUGGAUGUUUCUUUACAAACUUCAUAGUUUUUUCUUUUCUUUUUUAGAAGGAUAUGACCAUGGUGAUGAUGAGUUUUACCUGUCCAUGAUCUUAUCCACAAAUACCACAGUUAAAUUCUAAUGAAGUAUGUAAAAAUGUUCAGCUCUAAUAAACACGCAUUUCAGGAAAAAAUUAUUCAAUAAUAUGACAAAAUUAAUAUUACAGAAUAUUCUGGAAAAAAUUUAAUAUAUCCCUGCAUAACUCUGGUAUAACUGAGCCUUUGAAGUUCUUAAUUUGUGAUUUGUAGAAUAGGAUUUAUAUAGAAUUUGAGAAGGUGUAACUGUUUUGUUGUGUUUGUGAGAGAGAAACAAAAUACAAGAUUGCAACUCCUAAAACAUUUUCUUGAUGACUUAUAAAAUAAGUGAAAUAUUCUUUGCAAAUUCUACUGUCACAGGUGCUCAGUUUUGCUACAAUAAUACUAGAUAUAGAAGUACUGUAUGCAAAUAUAACAAAGGGACAUAAACAACUGAAUAUUCAGGGAUGCAAACUUAUCACCUUUAAGUGAAAAUUGUCAUUUUGAAUCUAAAAUAGAUAAUUUGCGUGAUUCUCAAAGAGAUUUUGACUAGUAAGUAGUGAAAGUAGUAUUGACUCAAUUUAGGUACCAGCUGAAAUUAACUGCUUUCAAACGCUCCUGUGCGUGUAUUUGUGGUUUGAAAUUGGUAAAAUGUGCUUGAAAAAAAAAAAAAAAAAAAAAUGCUGGCCCGCUGUGAGAAACCAGACGUCUCAAUUCAUCAGUUUUUGCUGGUGAGUAGAUUAAGUGCUUCUGCUGUACUUUUAUGUGCAUGUUAUGCUACCUGUGUUUUAUUUGUUAGUUUAAUUUACCAUGCGAUUACAUAUCACUCUGUUUAGAUGAGAUAGUAAGUAUCAAUAUAACGAAUUUAGACCGACUGGAAAUAACAUACAGCUCUUCAUUAAAAGAGCGGGUUCAUAAGAGUUAUUUGUUAAUAAAUUGGACACUGAAAUUGUCCAAAAAGGCAUGGCUCAAUAUUGUCAUGUUCGUAAACUGACCUACAUUGGUGGAUCAGUACAUAGUAUAGCCAGUUUUCAUGAUUUAAUUGAUUAAUACGAUUCAUACUGAGUUGGGUGUAAUACACUAUCAUGUGUUUUCUGUGUGAGUUAAACAAGUAAAGAGUGCUUCUGCAGAAAUCUACAUUUGUUCCAUAUUUAAAACAAAAAUCUGAGCUACUAAGUUCAAUCAGCUGACCCUAUUGUUGACGUGUUUUUACAGAGUCAGGCCUGGAUGAAAACCUGCUUAAAGAGAGAGAUAGAUUAACUGGGAAGAUAAAGCCUGGUGCUGAUGUACCCGGUAAGCUAAAUGAAGAAUUGUAAAACCGAAAAAGCUCAGAUGACGCUGAAAAGACUGUCAGCUCAGCCUCAGCCCCUGUAAAUGAAUCGGUUCAAGAAAUGCAAAGAAGAAUAGAAGGGCUACAGGAAGAAAACAGCGGCUCAGAGAGGAACUUGAAAACUAGAUUCCUGGAUUCUCAAUGAGCUGAGAAGGCUAAGGACAGAGGCA
Molecule: long non-coding RNA, 2054 nt
Organism: Onychostoma macrolepis
Lineage: Eukaryota; Metazoa; Chordata; Actinopteri; Cypriniformes; Cyprinidae
Exons: 3
Source: RefSeq, a predicted model, not a curated record